GGGUAUAUACAGCUCAGUGGUAGAGUGCCAGCUUAGCAUGCACAGGGUCCUGGGUUCAAUCCCCAGUACCUCCA
Molecule: transfer RNA, 74 nt
Organism: Camelus ferus (Wild Bactrian camel)
Lineage: Eukaryota; Metazoa; Chordata; Mammalia; Artiodactyla; Camelidae
Rfam family: tRNA
About the family: Transfer RNA (tRNA) molecules are approximately 80 nucleotides in length. Their secondary structure includes four short double-helical elements and three loops (D, anti-codon, and T loops). Further hydrogen bonds mediate the characteristic L-shaped molecular structure. tRNAs have two regions of fundamental functional importance: the anti-codon, which is responsible for specific mRNA codon recognition, and the 3' end, to which the tRNAs corresponding amino acid is attached (by aminoacyl-tRNA synthetases). tRNAs cope with the degeneracy of the genetic code in two manners: having more than one tRNA (with a specific anti-codon) for a particular amino acid; and 'wobble' base-pairing, i.e. permitting non-standard base-pairing at the 3rd anti-codon position.
Source: Rfam